UGGGGAAUUUUGGACAAUGGGCGCAAGCCUGAUCCAGCAAUGCCGCGUGCAGGAUGAAGGCCUUCGGGUUGUAAACUGCUUUUGUACGGAACGAAAAGGCUCUGGCUAAUACCUGGGGCACAUGACGGUACCGUAAGAAUAAGCACCGGCUAACUACGUGCCAGCAGCCGCGGUAAUACGUAGGGUGCGAGCGUUAAUCGGAAUUACUGGGCGUAAAGCGUGCGCAGGCGGUUUUGUAAGACAGAGGUGAAAUCCCCGGGCUCAACCUGGGAACUGCCUUUGUGACUGCAAGGCUGGAGUGCGGCAGAGGGGGAUGGAAUUCCGCUGUAGCAGUGAAAUGCGUAGAUAUGCGGAGGAACACCGAUGGCGAAGGCAAUCCCCUGGGCCUGCACUGACGCUCAUGCACGAAAGCGUGGGGAGCAAACAGGAUUAGAUACCCUGGUAGUCCACGCCCUAAACGAUGUCAACUGGUUGUUGGGUCUUAAUUGACUCAGUAACGAAGCUAACGCGUGAGGUUGGACCGCCUGGGGAGUACGGCCGCAAGGUUGAAACUUAAAAGGAAUUGAC
RNAcentral lists this ribosomal RNA (567 nucleotides) under uncultured bacterium. RNAcentral describes it as "partial 16S ribosomal RNA". It matches the Rfam family "Bacterial small subunit ribosomal RNA", at positions 355 to 914 of the family's 1533-position model. The record is from RNAcentral.